RNAcentral lists this ribosomal RNA (518 nucleotides) under uncultured bacterium. RNAcentral describes it as "bacterial SSU rRNA". It matches the Rfam family "Bacterial small subunit ribosomal RNA", at positions 19 to 518 of the family's 1533-position model. The record is from RNAcentral.
AUGGCUCAGAUUGAACGCUGGCGGCGUGCUUAACACAUGCAAGUCGAACGCGAAAGGGACUUCGGUCCUGAGUAAAGUGGCGCACGGGUGAGUAACGCGUGGAUAAUCUGCCCUUAUGAUCGGGAUAACAGUUGGAAACGGCUGCUAAUACCGGAUACGCUCAAAAUGAACUUUUUGAGGAAAGAUGGCCUCUGCUUGCAUGCUAUCACGUAAGGAUGAGUCCGCGUCCCAUUAGCUUGUUGGCGGGGUAACGGCCCACCAAGGCAACGAUGGGUAGCCGAUUUGAGAGGAUGAUCGGCCACACUGGAACUGAAACACGGUCCAGACUCCUACGGGAGGCAGCAGUGGGGAAUAUUGCGCAAUGGGCGAAAGCCUGACGCAGCGACGCCGCGUGAGGGGAAUGAAGGUUUUCGGAUCGUAAACCUCUGUCAGAAGGGAAGAAACUACGUUGUGCUAAUCAGCAGCGUACUGACGGUACCUUCAAAGGAAGCACCGGCUAACUCCGUGCCAGCCGCGGC